Molecule: ribosomal RNA, 427 nt
Filed under: uncultured bacterium
Lineage: Bacteria
Description: bacterial SSU rRNA
Rfam family: Bacterial small subunit ribosomal RNA
Source: RNAcentral
UAGGGAAUCUUGCGCAAUGGGCGAAAGCCUGACGCAGCGACGCCGCGUGAGCGAUGAAGGCCUUCGGGUUGUAAAGCUCUGUGGGGAGAGACGAAUAAGGCAUGGCUAACAUCCAUGUCGAUGACGGUAUCUCCUUAGCAAGCACCGGCUAACUCUGUGCCAGCAGCCGCGGUAAGACAGAGGGUGCGAACGUUGUUCGGAAUUACUGGGCGUAAAGCGCGUGUAGGCGGCAGCGCAAGUCGGGCGUGAAAUCCCACGGCUCAACCGUGGAAGUGCACUCGAAACUGCGCAGCUAGAGUCCUGGAGAGGAAGGUGGAAUGCUUGGUGUAGAGGUGAAAUUCGUAGAUAUCAAGCGGAACACCGGUGGCGAAGGCGACCUUCUGGACAGUGACUGACGCUGAGACGCGAAAGCGUGGGGAGCAAACAG